RNAcentral lists this unclassified non-coding RNA (175 nucleotides) under Gossypium tomentosum. Lineage: Eukaryota; Viridiplantae; Streptophyta; Magnoliopsida; Malvales; Malvaceae. The record is from RNAcentral.
CAAUUUUAAAUCUCAUUAAAUUUUUUUUCUAUUUUUUUAUAUCUCAUCGUUUAACUAAUUAGUUAUUUACGGAAUAAAUCACUCGAAACGUUAUUUGGUCGUAUUUAAAUUUAAAUUCGAGGCUCAAGCGCGAUCAGGGGUAGCCUUUAUAUAAAUAGAAUGCGCAAGAAUUGAU